This 253-nucleotide ribosomal RNA is filed under the name uncultured bacterium. Its description in RNAcentral is "partial 16S ribosomal RNA". It matches the Rfam family "Bacterial small subunit ribosomal RNA", at positions 524 to 776 of the family's 1533-position model. The record is from RNAcentral.
UACGGGGGGUGCGAGCGUUGUCCGGAAUCACUGGGCGUAAAGGGCGCGUAGGUGGUUUGAUAAGGGUGUGGUGAAAGUCCGGGGCUCAACCCCGGAUCUGCCGUGCCGACUGUCAAACUCGAGGGCUGUAGAGGCAGACGGAAUUCCGGGUGUAGCGGUGGAAUGCGUAGAGAUGCGGCGGAACACCGAUGGCGAAGGCAGCCCCCUGGGCUGAGAUUGACGCUCAGGCACGAAAGCGUGGGGAGCAAACAGG